AAAUUAUUUUAGGCAUGGGAUCAAAGAAGAAACUUCUUUGUAGCAGCAUCCCAGUACUAGGACUUUUUGUCUCUGCAUGGAAAUCUGAAUAUAUUUAUAUGUUGGAGUGACAUCUCUACAGGAAGCCUAGAGACCUAACUGUUUGCUACAUGUCACCAAAGUUAAAGUGGCUACCUUAAUGAGCAGCCAGGAUGCCAUCAUCUCCGACCUGAAUGACAAUAACCUCCAAACCAGCCUUUGUAUACUCCUUCCUGCUGCUCUGCAGUCCACUUCCACAGACCAGCCAACUGAAUCUCCUUAUAGAUUCAUAAUGGCCAUCAGCACAAAGAUGUUUUAUCUGCAGUCAACCAGUCAUGUUUCAUGAUGGCAUCAAAAUAUUUGACAGUUUGGUCUACAUUUCAAGGCUGGUUAGAUGGGAGGUAUGUCCUGGUAUAUUAGUUAAUUUAGGUAUAUCUUACUGAUUUACAUUGCAUGAUUUAUCAGAUGCUAUUGACUCAUUCAAGUAAAUACAUUUAAAAAUUAUACCUUUUGCUCAUACUAGUAAUUGGGUCAGUCAUGCUCUUGAAGGAGGCAUACUGGGAGCCAUACAUUACCAGAGGCAGAGGAUUCAAUGGAUGUUUUCUGUUUUCUCUUCUUCGUGCUCUGUAAUUGAGACACAGAACAAAGGAGGAAGACUAAGUGCUCUGCCUUAACUCAGGCCAGGCUGUGGGCGCAAGUGCACCAACGGCUUUGAGACUAACACACAGCUCAGAACAAGGAGGUGAAAAUCUGACAGCUCAAAAUGAAGCAAAAACCCAAGAUUAAAACAGACACCAUUUUGUGCCCACUCAGUCUUCUUUCCAGGGUCAUACAUGUGUUUAUAACCGCACUUCUACAUUCUAUUAUGAGGGCAAGAGUUGUGGCUGCUAUAUAAAUGCUUCCUAGCAUAGUUCCUGACAACUAGGUGAUUCAUGAAUAUUUGCUGAAGAAAUAAAAAUAACUUUAUGAA
Molecule: long non-coding RNA, 988 nt
Filed under: Homo sapiens (human)
Lineage: Eukaryota; Metazoa; Chordata; Mammalia; Primates; Hominidae
Description: HSALNT0376146
Source: RNAcentral